This 1207-nucleotide ribosomal RNA is filed under the name metagenome. RNAcentral describes it as "bacterial SSU rRNA". It matches the Rfam family "Bacterial small subunit ribosomal RNA", at positions 8 to 1237 of the family's 1533-position model. The record is from RNAcentral.
AGAGUUUGAUCAUGGCUCAGGACGAACGCUGGCGGCGCGCCUAACACAUGCAAGUCGAACGAGCGAGAGAGAGCUUGCUUUCUCAAGCGAGUGGCGAACGGGUGAGUAACGCGUGAGGAACCUGCCUCAAAGAGGGGGACAACAGUUGGAAACGACUGCUAAUACCGCAUAAGCCCACGGCUCGGCAUCGAGCAGAGGGAAAAGGAGCAAUCCGCUUUGAGAUGGCCUCGCGUCCGAUUAGCUAGUUGGUGAGGUAAUGGCCCACCAAGGCGACGAUCGGUAGCCGGACUGAGAGGUUGAACGGCCACAUUGGGACUGAGACACGGCCCAGACUCCUACGGGAGGCAGCAGUGGGGAAUAUUGCACAAUGGGGGAAACCCUGAUGCAGCGACGCCGCGUGGAGGAAGAAGGUCUUCGGAUUGUAAACUCCUGUUGUUGGGGAAGAUAAUGACGGUACCCAACAAGGAAGUGACGGCUAACUACGUGCCAGCAGCCGCGGUAAAACGUAGGUCACAAGCGUUGUCCGGAAUUACUGGGUGUAAAGGGAGCGCAGGCGGGAAGACAAGUUGGAAGUGAAAUCUAUGGGCUCAACCCAUAAACUGCUUUCAAAACUGUUUUUCUUGAGUAGUGCAGAGGUAGGCGGAAUUCCCGGUGUAGCGGUGGAAUGCGUAGAUAUCGGGAGGAACACCAGUGGCGAAGGCGGCCUACUGGGCACCAACUGACGCUGAGGCUCGAAAGUGUGGGUAGCAAACAGGAUUAGAUACCCUGGUAGUCCACACCGUAAACGAUGAUUACUAGGUGUUGGAGGAUUGACCCCUUCAGUGCCGCAGUUAACACAAUAAGUAAUCCACCUGGGGAGUACGACCGCAAGGUUGAAACUCAAAGGAAUUGACGGGGGCCCGCACAAGCAGUGGAGUAUGUGGUUUAAUUCGACGCAACGCGAAGAACCUUACCAAGUCUUGACAUCCUGCGACGGUUCUGGAAACAGAGCUUUCCUUCGGGACGCAGAGACAGGUGGUGCAUGGUUGUCGUCAGCUCGUGUCGUGAGAUGUUGGGUUAAGUCCCGCAACGAGCGCAACCCUUAUGGUCAGUUACUACGCAAGAGGACUCUGGCCAGACUGCCGUUGACAAAACGGAGGAAGGUGGGGAUGACGUCAAAUCAUCAUGCCCUUUAUGACUUGGGCUACACACGUACUACAAUGGCGUU